CAAGAUGACUCUGCUGACCUGUGUGAUGC
This 29-nucleotide non-coding RNA is filed under the name Cricetulus griseus (Chinese hamster). Lineage: Eukaryota; Metazoa; Chordata; Mammalia; Rodentia; Cricetidae. The record is from RNAcentral.